RNAcentral lists this ribosomal RNA (464 nucleotides) under uncultured bacterium. Its description in RNAcentral is "partial 16S ribosomal RNA". It matches the Rfam family "Bacterial small subunit ribosomal RNA", at positions 28 to 507 of the family's 1533-position model. The record is from RNAcentral.
GACGAACGCUGGCGGCGUGCUUAACACAUGCAAGUCGAACGGAAAGGCCCCUUUGGGGGUACUCGAGUGGCGAACGGGUGAGUAACACGUGAGUAACCUGCCCUUGACUUCGGGAUAACUUCAGGAAACUGGGGCUAAUACCGGAUAGGAAUCCUUGCUGCAUGGUGGGGGUUGGAAAGCUUCGGCGGUUUUGGAUGGACUCGCGGCUUAUCAGCUUGUUGGUGGGGUAGUGGCUUACCAAGGCUUUGACGGGUAGCCGGCCUGAGAGGGCGACCGGCCACAUUGGGACUGAGAUACGGCCCAGACUCCUACGGGAGGCAGCAGUGGGGAAUAUUGCACAAUGGGCGGAAGCCUGAUGCAGCAACGCCGCGUGCGGGAUGACGGCCUUCGGGUUGUAAACCGCUUUCAGCAGGGGCGAAGCUUGUGGUGACGGUACCUCAGAAGAAGCACCGGCUAACUACGUG